GGGUGUGAGGCUUAUCUGGCUGUGACAUUGUCACUCCAUCGAUGGCCAGGGGUGAUUUGGCUGAUCUGGCUGGCUGGGUGUGUGUCUGCUUCCUCCCUCACCACUUCUUGUGCAUCCAUCUGUCCCUCCUGAACCUGUGUUCCAGGUGGAGGAGGAGACCACCUCUGACAGAGGAGGUGACAACCUCCACUUCAUCAGUCGAGGGUGUCUGAGUAGAUGCCCUGUCCUGUUAGAAACUCCAAACAAAUUCUCAAGAAUUCAGAGUAAGAAAAGCAUGCUAAGAGUGAAUAAAACAAAAAAGUUUUCAGAAGACGUAGUGUUUGUGUUCAAUUUU
Non-coding RNA from Fukomys damarensis (Damara mole-rat), 334 nucleotides. The record is from Rfam. NCBI's taxonomy places the organism in Eukaryota, Metazoa, Chordata, Mammalia, Rodentia, Bathyergidae.